AUGUUUUCUGAAAUAAGAGUCAUUUUUGCUGAAAAAACCAGGGCGUUGUUCCUUGAUGCUUCGGCAUUUUUUGCAAUUUCCAUCAACUUUAUAUUAAUAAUUUUAAUUCUCACAAAGUCCCCAAAAACACUGGGAGCAUAUAAGUACUUGAUGGUUUACAUUGCAUUUUUCGAGUUAGCUUAUGCCGGGCUUUAUGUUGCUGAAAAACCAACCUUUUUUACCAAAGAUUCUGCAUUUCUGCUUAUCACUAAUACCAAAAAUUCAAUUUUUCCGAGGAGAAUUUCAAUGUUUGUUGAAGAACUUUUUAUUGGGUUCUACGGUUUAGCAAUGGCAAUUCUUGCAAUUCAUUUCAUUUAUCGUUAUCUGGCACUCAGCAGCAAUAUUUGGCUUCACACAUUUGAAAGUUGGAAGCUCGUCCUUUGGCUUAUGUUUCCUAUUGCAAACGCUGGAAUCUGGUGGUUUGUGGCUGCCGUUAUUUUUGCUGGAAAAGAAGACUCGGACAGAUAUUUGAAGAAAUUCUAUUUACCAUUGGCUCAACACCUAGUUAAUUUUGAGGACAUAUAUUGUAUUGGUCCGUUUUAUUACUUGAAAGAUGUCAAUGGAAAGUCUUAUAUAAACUGGAUAUCGUUUCAAGGAACGGCGAUUUCCUUAUCACUAAUUUGUCUUUCGUUCACGACAAUGAUAUAUUUUGGCUCAAAAGGUUACAAAUCAAUGAGCGAAUUGAUGAGCCUCUCCACCGUAUCGGACCAUUGCUCCUCAUGCAUAUUCCUGCAACUGUCACAUAUAUAACAUCAUUUUUCAACGUUUCAUCGGAAAUUUUCGGCGAAAUUCUUGACUUGAGCAUUGCACUUUACCCAGUGCUAAACCCGCUGCCAACGAUAUUUAUUGUCACAAGCUAUAGAAAAGCUGUUAUUGAUUUAUUAUGUUGCCGAAAAAAAAUUGUUCCACUCUCAACUGCUGAAGUGACUAAUCAAAUGGCAACUCAACCUAUGGCUAGUACUCUUUAA
RNAcentral lists this unclassified non-coding RNA (1007 nucleotides) under Caenorhabditis elegans. RNAcentral's name for it is "Non-coding transcript of protein-coding gene str-253". Lineage: Eukaryota; Metazoa; Nematoda; Chromadorea; Rhabditida; Rhabditidae. The record is from RNAcentral.